Pleuronectes platessa (European plaice) is the source of this 1915-nucleotide long non-coding RNA. RefSeq lists it as uncharacterized. NCBI's taxonomy places the organism in Eukaryota, Metazoa, Chordata, Actinopteri, Pleuronectiformes, Pleuronectidae. The record is from RefSeq and is a predicted model, not a curated record. The transcript has 3 exons.
UGGCCUCAAAGUUUGAUUAAACGCCAUCAAAACACGGGCUCCUGUAUCUUGGACAUAUUUUGUCCAAUCGAGUCCAAACUAUACACAUAAGACAAGAGUCGCGACCUGAAGACAUCGGUACAGAAAUCGUGACUUAAAAUCACAGCGUCCCCUGGUGGCAACAGCAAAUGUCUUGUUUUUCUAUGUGUUAUAGUUUGAUUCACUACUCGUAGGGCCUUCAUUAAAUCAACGUAAAAAUUUGAUGCAUGUGUUCAAAACAAGAUGAAGAUCUAAAGUUAACGAAAUUGCAACUUUUCAUAAUACUGUGUGACCGUGGUGUGGCUUCCAGUUUGAGGAAUGAAAACAUCUAUAUCUGGCAGAUGUGCUGCAAUAUUUAGUCACUAGAUGGCAGUGUCAGACCAUGCUUUGUGUUAUCUAUGCAUUAACAGACUGUGUUUACAGGGUGGCCAACUUUAGAGGAGAAUUAAACCUUUUACAGCAUUGCUCAAACUUUGGUUUUAGUCUCAAUCGCUAAGUUCUUCCUUCAUGACAACUCUGAGGGGGGUGUAUUUUAUUUUAACUCCCUCGUUUAAGCGAUAUAGAUGUUUGAAAUUCACGUGACGUCACAGUGUAAGCUGUGCUGUGUGUUGUGAGUUCGGCUUUCACCAGUUACACGUGAACGCCUCAUGAAAUGGCUUACACCCACAUACCCGGUAAAUUACACACUUUGAUGUUCUGCUCCUUCUCCUGACGGUCACGGUAACGAUGUCUGCGCCUCCGUUUCUGUGGAUGUCCAGCGUGAGACACAACUUGAAUCCAACCAGACUGAACACUGACUCCAGGGAAGGACGAGCCUGAAGGACACAGCUGUGAUGACCAAUUGACCAUGUUUUGUCUCUUAUGGCAAAGCAGAAAUAUUAAACACUGGGUUCUUAUCUAAAGUGUAUCAAAUCAGAAAGCAAAAGAUACACAUUGUUGUUAUAAGUUUUUAUUAUUUUAACCAACCAUAAUGAAGAUAGAAAUGAAUUCUUAUCCAUGCCACUUAGCAAUGACUGCCACCACCAAACAGUUGCAGGCCAUCUUUAUUUAAGGGAGGAAUUUAGAAGUGUUGUGUAGCUUCUGAUGAUGAUGCAGUCGUCCACGUGUUGACCACCAUGUUGCUGCUGACGACGUCAGGUGCUGCAGUUCCUCAUCUAUAAAGAGAAGAAACGCACUGUUAAAGAAUGUUUUGAGUUGUGUAUGAAGCACAACAGAUUUCAGAUAGAACCGUUGUACUGUGGUCUGGGUUUGUAUCCUAAUGGUUAAAUGCACAUAUUUUAAGUCGCUUUUGAUAAAAGUACUGAAAGAAAUACAACAUUGUAAAAAUAGAUAAAAUGUCUUUCUACCUCAUCUGUAAUAUUCAAGGUGAUAAUCUCCCACAGAGCUAUUGAUAACAGUCCACAUCAAGUCUCUCCACUUCCCUCAGUGUGAAAACAUAAUUAUAUAAUUAAUUUGAGAACUGUUUACAACACUGAUGUGUGGAGAUUAAAAUCAUAUCUAAACUGUCUAAUUCACUGUAAAACUCCAUGACAUUCGCAGGCCAUCUGUAGUUAAGGGAGCAACGUAUGGAGUGAUGUGUAGAGGGCAGAAACUUGGACUAUGGGCAGAGAAGGUCUCUGGUUCGUCUCCGGUUCGACUCCACGGAGAGACAACAAAAGACAAACCUGGAUUGAUCUGUCCAAAAAUCCAAGAGUCUCCCUACCCUCUCUAGUGCCCCUGAGCAAGGCACCUCACUCCCCCAACAUCUGCUCCGUGAGCGCCGUACAUGGUCGCUCACUGCUCUGUGUGUCCUGCACCAGAUGGGUAAAAAGCAGAGAUUAAAUUUCCCUACCUGCAUGAGUGUGCCUUUGCAUGUCUGUGCAUGUGUUUGGGACGAAUAAAUGGAUCUUAAUCUUAA